UCUGGUUAGAGGAAUAGGCAGAUGUUUGUCUCUCAGUAAAGGAGAUCAUCCGUGCUUUGCACACUUGCCUUUCUUCUAGCUAUUUAAGCUUUUUCUGAUGCAGAUGCCACCCUGGAGCAUACCUUACUGUGAGCUUGUGAAGUGGCUCCUAGAACAUAUUUUCCGGCUAAGGUAGAAGAUGUUUCCUAGGGAGGACACCAGAACAGGAGAAAUAAAGUCAUAGAAAAAACAGUUCCUGGACCGGGAACCCAGGCCCAGCCCUGACACUGAGUCUCUCUGCUCCCAUGGACCAGGCACUUUUUCUCUCCAAACCUGUAAUCUAGAAAGUUUCUUUUCUAGUUCUAAAAAUCUGUGAUUCUAGGUACUGUGAAAACAAAAAAUAAGAAAGUAAGGGUAAAGAAAAUGGAGUGGAACGCUAAUAGAUGGGAAUUCAUUCAUUCACUUACUCAUUUAUUCAUUCAUUCUUCCUUUGUAUCUUCUAGCAAGAUGUCAUGGAGCCCCUAUUAAAUGAGAGGCGGGGACUGCUCACUCUCCCAGACAAGGGGGUGAGGAAAAAGGAUCACUAUUUGCUAGCACCAAGUAAAGCCCACCGUUGUCCACUGUGCAGUUAAUUCGGACCAGUGCAGGUAGCCAGAUGACAGACUGAGAGCUGGAUUCACAGGUUCCAUUCACUCAUCUCUAUAUUUCAAUGUGACCCUGAAGCAACAGAGGCUAAAAUAAGAGCAAUAGGAAAAAUCACCCCUGUUUAAAAAUAAAUGAUGAAUACAAACCUCACACCAUAUUGGAUUCCAAAGACCACAGAACUGCCAUGCCAGAACCAAAAAGAUAAGGCAGCAACAUAUACAGGAUAGAGCUUGAACUAGAAAUCUGGGUUGUUGCCCGUGAUCUGUCACCAACUACAACAUUGGUGUAGCUCUGAUCAAGGUACCUUCCAUCUCUGAGUCUUAGUCUCCUGUUCUUUAAAGUCUGGCCUGAGCUUAAACUGGAUUUUCUCCAAGGCCUCUUCCAGGUCUAAUGUUACAUGAUCGGUCGCUGAUAUUAUUCCAUAAGGUAGUAUUCCCUUCUAAAAACAGCAAAACACAAAUUCCUCAAAGCCAAAGGCAACACCUUUGUUUCCUUUGCAUGGCUGAUUAAAUUAAUGCAAACCAAGCAGGCUUUCACCGGAGAGCCUGGGAAAUUGCCGGAUAUUUGGGGAAGAUUACUGAGGUUAGUGCACAGUUGUCUUUGGCUAAGAUGUGCAGUCCUUCAGAGUUUUCUUGGAGUUUUGAUUAAGCAUAAAAUAGAGAAGCUCAAGCUAUGUAGACUCUCUAACCAAAAAUGCUUCUCAAGAAGGGCUCUUUUAUCACUUGCUAUAAGGGAGGUAUAUUUAUUCUUUGAAUCAUUUUUUAUAUCUCCAUUCCAUUCUUUGUGGUCGCAUAAAGCACACACAUCUAUUUACAGCCCUUCAAGGUAAGUACAAUCGUCCCCCUUUUAUAGAUGAGGAAAACAGGACUAACAGACAUGAGCUAAUUGGCCCAAACUGGAAAAUUGAAAUCCAGGUCUUACUGAUUCAAAAGCCUGAGCUUUUCCACAAAAUCAAUGGUUCCCAAGUAAUUCAUUCUAAAACUAAUGCUUGAGACACAUAUGAAUUUGGAGGAACCUUAGGAAUCCCUGUAUUAGCCACACAAAAGAAUAGCAGGGCUUCCUGGGCCCAUGGAAGAAGGUGACAAAGAAUAAAGGUGGAAUAUAAUGUCCGUGCUACAUCACAUAUGACAUGCUCUGACUUAGGACGCUUAAAAUUGGGAGCCUAAUUUUUGGUCUUGCUUCUCUAGCCCAUUAUUUCUAAAAAUAACACAUUUUUACUUUUCUAUAUUUCACAGGAUAUGGCAGAGUCUCCUUGAGAAAAACAAAGCAAAGAUGCUUUGCAAGUAAAUAUAUGCUGAAUGAAUGAAUUACCACAAGUUAUUCAUUCUCUGUUCAUUAAUUAAUGUUGCUUCAUUCAUCAGCUGCAUUGUCCAAUUUACUUUAGCAGACCGGCUGUCAUCAACUCCAGAGAGCUUAUGAAGGGUUGAGAUAAUUAGUCUCAAUACCCUUAAGGAGAAGUGGAGGUACAGUCUUGCUCUCUUGAAGAAUUGCACACUAAGAAACCACAAACCAGCAUCUAAGUGAGUUAUUGACUGAAUAUGAAAUGAUCAGAUUGAUGCAUACUUAAAUGUUGCAACUGCAUAGAUCUAGAAGGGAAUGUGUUUUCCAAAGUAGAUGGGAUGUUCCUUUUGCCAUGCUAAAGAUGUAGGUCUAAUCAGUCUUCUCUCUGAACUCUUAGCGAGAUGGAAAUUCUGCAGCAGGCUGCCUGCCGCCCGAUGUGCCCAGCAGAGCCGGCUUAAAAUGCAGGAAACACCUGUGGUAUAUUCUAAGAGGGCCCCUUCCCCUUAAAAUAAUCUCUUCCCCAUUAGCCUCUGGCAAUACUUGGCAUGCUGCCAUUCAUUUCUUGUGCCGAUAAUGGUUUUUUUCCUGGAAUAGGAGCGAUUGACAUGACAAGAACUGAGAUGGGGCAGUUCUGAUACAACUGACAAAGAAUUAGCAGUACAGAGCAUGAGACCCUGCAUAAAGACAAAUGGGAGAAGCCGAAGCGCAAGGUGUCAGCAGGUUUCGUCUCUUCUGAGGCCUCUCUCCUUGGCUUGCAGAUGGCCUCCUUCUCGCUGUGUCCUCACGUGGCCUUUUUUCUCCAUGUGCGUGCAUCCGUCGUGUCUCUCUUAUUCUUGGAAGAAAAACAUGUGCCUUCUGCUAACUGUCUGGUGUGUCCAGUUCUGAAUGUCAAGACCAAGUCCUGAAAAUGGGUACUGGGGACGACUUAAGAGACAAGGAAACAGAAACACAGAGAAACCCAAGAUCACCCAGCUGCUAAGGCCUUGAGCUGCUCUUUGUCCCUGUGCUGGAUUUGACCCACAGAGCCCAGCUCUUAACUACCAGCCUCUCUCAUCUCUUUGAUAAGCCACAGUUCUCCCCUCCUUGAUGCUACCUCAGAGAGAUAUAUGACUUCCCUGCAGAAUCCAUCUUCAUCCUGUGGGUGUAAAAAGACCCUUGAGCACGUCCCUUGGGUAAUAAAGCAGCUAGCUUCCACAGCUUUUUUUCAGCUACCGCUAAAAUGCUUUUAAAGGAACUACUCAAUAAAUUGGGCUAAUUUCAGUGGUGUUUAUCAUUCUAAUGGGGUGGUGCUCUGGGUAUAAUUAUGUACAAGAUAAACUGUCCAGUAGAGAGAAAAAGAAACUCCUGCACUCACAGCCAAGACAGGGAGAUGAAACUCUGCCCUGAGACUCAUGGGGACCCUUUCAUUCAUUGGUUGUGAGAGACUGCAGGCUUUAAGGACCUCUGCCAAUUCCAUCUCUCCCUACCUCCAACACAUCUGACCAGUGCAGUUCCCCGGGAUUCACUUUCUCCAAAUGGAAUCUAGAUUUCUUCCAGUGCAGUCUCAGGUUUCAUUUGCUUCUGCACAGAAGCCUCUCCGUCUUUGCCUCUGUCUGCAUUCCACUGAACCUCUGCUCACUCCUGCAGAACUGCUCACUGUUAAGCCACAUCGCUGCAUCCUUAAUCUGGCCGCAUGGUCUUUUGAAUCUAAACACAAGACUUGAAGUUUUUGUCUUUUUCUUUCAUUUUUAAUUUGAUAUUGCUAACUUUUACUCAGCUUUACAAAUCUCCAACUUCUGAAUGUUAUUUCUAUCAUUUAUUAUAUGAACAAAUAUUUCCAAGAAUGGAGAAAUCUACAAGUUUGGAAAGCAUGAACUCUUGUCUUCUUCCAAGUCAUUGAUGAAAAGUGUGGAACGUGGAUGCAGCUCUCUGUAAAUUUCCCUUGUGACCUGACUACAGGUUGACUUCAACCUACUGAGACAGUCAAAUUCCCUAUUGGCCAGUCCAGCUUCUGUGACAUGUUUUCAGUGAAUGCUUCCCAGACCCUAGAGACCGUCACUUUCCAGUCUAAAAAUUCAGAAUCACCAAUUCAAUGAUCUAUUCUAAAAUAUAGACAUAAAUUAGUAGUGUUUGUAACUUUUUCUCAUUAUAAAUG
RNAcentral lists this long non-coding RNA (4039 nucleotides) under Homo sapiens (human). RNAcentral describes it as "HSALNT0366342". The record is from RNAcentral. Lineage: Eukaryota; Metazoa; Chordata; Mammalia; Primates; Hominidae.